RNAcentral lists this ribosomal RNA (253 nucleotides) under uncultured bacterium. RNAcentral's name for it is "partial 16S ribosomal RNA". It matches the Rfam family "Bacterial small subunit ribosomal RNA", at positions 524 to 776 of the family's 1533-position model. The record is from RNAcentral.
UACGGGGGGGGUAAGCGUUGUUCGGAAUUACUGGGCGUAAAGGGCUCGUAGGCGGCCAACUAAGUCGGAUGUGAAAUCCCUCAGCUUAACUGGGGAACUGCGUCUGAUACUGGAUGGCUUGGAUUUGGGAGAGGGAUGCGGAAUUCCAGGUGUAGCGGUGAAAUGCGUAGAUAUCUGGAGGAACACCGGUGGCGAAGGCGGCAUCCUGGACCAACAUUGACGCUGAGGAGCGAAAGCCAGGGGAGCAAACGGG